UACAGGGGGUGCAAACGUUGCUCGGAAUUAUUGGGCGUAAAGCGCACGUAGGCGGUUUGUUAUGUCGGAUGUGAAAGCCCUUGGCUCAACUGAGGAAGUGCAUCCGAAACUGGCAAGCUAGAGUAUGGAAGAGGGUCGCGGAAUUCCCGGUGUAGAGGUGAAAUUCGUAGAUAUCGGGAGGAACACCGGUGGCGAAGGCGGCGACCUGGGACAAUACUGACGCUGAGGUGCGAAAGCGUGGGGAGCAAACAGG
Molecule: ribosomal RNA, 253 nt
Filed under: uncultured bacterium
Lineage: Bacteria
Description: partial 16S ribosomal RNA
Rfam family: Bacterial small subunit ribosomal RNA
Source: RNAcentral